This is a long non-coding RNA of Mustela putorius furo (domestic ferret), 1592 nucleotides long. Lineage: Eukaryota; Metazoa; Chordata; Mammalia; Carnivora; Mustelidae. The record is from Ensembl.
GCUUCAAGUUGUUUCUUCUCUUAACACAUGCUGUGUUGGGUGAAGCGCAGUGGAGUCGGACCUCUCUUUCUCUGUCUUUAUGUGAUUCCUUCGAGAACCGCAGAGGAUAGGGCGCCGGCAGGGCCGUGUUCCAGGCUUCCCCGCAGCGAGGUGCUGUGUGGGAUUUAGACUCAGCCAAUAAGAUGCAUUUCUUCCACUGGGAGAAGAAAGUGAAACCACAUUUCUGCAGAUUUUGUGUUUCUGCUAUGUCAAGGCACAGGACACGUGUUCUGGAGGGACCGACAGUGCCGGAUCCAGCCGGGACGCCAGAGGGUUAGAACGACGUGGCCCGGAUUGCCACGAAGCAGUGGGAUUGGAGCAGCCGCUUCCUGGCUGUGGAAAGUGUGGCGGUUCCUGCAGCGGUACGGUUCUUGGAAUCCCGAAUGUUCCGCCUGUGGCGCUAAUACGCAACUGGACGGCAGACAGUCGCCCCGACCUAGUGGCGCUGGGAAGUCGUCAGCACCUGCCCUCCAGGUAGGAACUGUGCUCUCCAGGAGUGAGGUCAGGACGUGGCUGUUGGGCAAACCUCCCAUUUCGUCCCCUGCAGAGACAGUUGAGAACUUCGUCUCCUCUAACGUCCGUCUCUCCAGCUCUCCCAGUGCGUAUUCGAGGCAUUUGUUUCUCGGCAGUAAAUGUUUCCCUUCUGAAACGAGUUGGAGCAGACUCUGGUUUCUGCGCUGAACUCUGACUAAUACACGUUGUUCCUGUGUUUGGCAGCCUUCCGGUCAAGUGAGUACGUACGGCACGACACGUGUCCAGGGAGGCCGUCGCACUGAGAGCUAGCGUGUUCCCACGACGGCAUGUCUGUCAGGGAUCGGUACUGUCACUGCGUUUCCUGUCGCUUCCCUCCCGUGUGGCUUACGGAUGACGUCACAAAGUCCCCUUAAGCAGCAGCUACAAGAUGACUUCAGUGCAGACACACAGUUCCAGGCAUAAACCAGAGCCAUGGAAUCUGGCCAUUGGCCGCACCACAGAUGGUCUUACUGGCUCUGUUUUGUUGCUUUGGUACUUCCUGGUGCCUGGGGCUUCGUCACUCUCUUUCAGGGGCUUGGUUGUCAAUUUAUGUGCCGCGUCUUUAACCAAUACUGACCUAUUAGCCCUAAAAACAUUGAAGGAACAUUUAGAAAUAAAAUAAAGACAUAAGGGGUUGACUACUUAAUCAAGUUUUAUACCUUCGCAAGCCAAUGAAGGAAACUCUUCUGUGUGAUGUAGGGUUAAGAGAGUAAGCGCUUCUGAUCCCUUUCCAAAGUGUGUUCAGAGAGUAGCUGCUUAUUCUAAUGAAUAACACAAUGUCCUCGGUUGUCACCAGUGGUCCUGAAAACACUAAGCAUCAGUGACCUUUAUAACAGGCCCGGGGAGUUUUGGAUAUGUGACAAGUGUUUUCCAAAACAGUGUGUCUAGGACGGGACUCCUUUGCUUGGCAUACAAUGUGUAGAAUAAAAGAACUUCAGCAUCUGUCCCUUAACUACAUUCCCAGUAUCCAUUCUUGACUUUAAUCCAGUCUUAAUGAAAACCGGAUUGACUUAUAAGUGCUUUGCUCCCCUGUAUCAUCA